RNAcentral lists this ribosomal RNA (253 nucleotides) under uncultured bacterium. RNAcentral's name for it is "partial 16S ribosomal RNA". It matches the Rfam family "Bacterial small subunit ribosomal RNA", at positions 524 to 776 of the family's 1533-position model. The record is from RNAcentral.
UACGUAGGGUGCGAGCGUUAAUCGGAAUUACUGGGCGUAAAGCGUGCGCAGGCGGUUUUGUAAGACAGAUGUGAAAUCCCCGGGCUUAACCUGGGAACUGCGUUUGAAACUACGGAGCUCGAGUACGGCAGAGGGGGGUGGAAUUCCACGUGUAGCAGUGAAAUGCGUAGAUAUGUGGAGGAACACCGAUGGCGAAGGCAACCCCCUGGGCCGAUACUGACGCUGAGGCACGAAAGCGUGGGGAGCAAACAGG